UUUCAAAGGUGGACACCACUCUGCUGAUCAAAGGAUCCAUCGGCAGAGACCAGAUUCUCCUGGACCCAGCUGUGUGUCCGUGAACAGCGACCGUCAUGUCCCUGUUCACUUCAAAGCUGGACAUAAUGAUGCUGAACAAAAGUUGAUCAGCAGAGCUCAGAGGUUCCCAGUGGUCAGUCUGCCCAGCAGCAUCAAACAGACCUGGA
Molecule: long non-coding RNA, 206 nt
Organism: Micropterus salmoides (largemouth bass)
Lineage: Eukaryota; Metazoa; Chordata; Actinopteri; Centrarchiformes; Centrarchidae
Exons: 3
Source: RefSeq, a predicted model, not a curated record